This 818-nucleotide ribosomal RNA is filed under the name uncultured bacterium. RNAcentral describes it as "bacterial SSU rRNA". It matches the Rfam family "Bacterial small subunit ribosomal RNA", at positions 688 to 1501 of the family's 1533-position model. The record is from RNAcentral.
UCGUAGAGAUUAGGAGGAACACCAGUGGCGAAGGCGACUUUCUGGACUGUAACUGACGCUGAGGUACGAAAGCGUGGGUAGCGAACAGGAUUAGAUACCCUGGUAGUCCACGCCGUAAACGAUGGAUACUAGGUGUAGGGGGUAUCGACCCCCCCUGUGCCGGAGUUAACGCAAUAAGUAUCCCGCCUGGGGAGUACGGUCGCAAGACUGAAACUCAAAGGAAUUGACGGGGGCCCGCACAAGCAGCGGAGCAUGUGGUUUAAUUCGAAGCAACGCGAAGAACCUUACCAGGGCUUGACAUCCCGAUGACCGGUACAGAGAUGUACCUUCCCUUCGGGGCAUUGGAGACAGGUGGUGCAUGGUUGUCGUCAGCUCGUGUCGUGAGAUGUUGGGUUAAGUCCCGCAACGAGCGCAACCCCUAUCCUUAGUUGCCAUCAGUUAAAGCUGGGCACUCUAAAGAGACUGCCGGGGAUAACUCGGAGGAAGGUGGGGAUGACGUCAAAUCAUCAUGCCCCUUAUGUCCUGGGCUACACACGUGCUACAAUGGCCUGUAACAGAGGGAAGCGAAGUCGUAAGGCGGAGCAAAACUCAGAAACCAGGUCCCAGUUCGGAUUGUGGGCUGCAACUCGCCCACAUGAAGUCGGAGUUGCUAGUAAUCGCGAAUCAGCAUGUCGCGGUGAAUACGUUCCCGGGCCUUGUACACACCGCCCGUCACACCAUGGAAGUUGGGGGGACCCGAAGCCGGUGACCUAACCUUUUUAGGGAGGAGCCGUCGAAGGUAAACUCGAUGACUAGGGUGAAGUCGUAACAAGGUAGCA